RNAcentral lists this ribosomal RNA (253 nucleotides) under uncultured bacterium. RNAcentral's name for it is "partial 16S ribosomal RNA". It matches the Rfam family "Bacterial small subunit ribosomal RNA", at positions 524 to 776 of the family's 1533-position model. The record is from RNAcentral.
UACGGGGGGUGCGAGCGUUGUCCGGAAUCACUGGGCGUAAAGGGCGCGUAGGUGGUUUGAUAAGGGUGUGGUGAAAGUCCGGGGCUCAACCCCGGAUCUGCCGUGCCGACUGUCAAACUCGAGGGCUGUAGAGGCAGACGGAAUUCCGGGUGUAGCGGUGGAAUGCGUAGAGAUCCGGAGGAAGGCCGGUGGCGAAGGCGGUCUGCUGGGCAGUUUCUGACACUGAUGCGCGACAGCGUGGGGAGCAAACAGG